AUUAAGCAUAGUUGAGGGUUUCAGUGUCCAAUGUUUGACUGUCCGUCUUGUUUGAAUAUUUUUCUAGAUUAGUAUUUUUUUUAUUAGAUGAGAAAACACGAAUAGUACUUUAUGCGUGACUUAAUUUUUAAAUUUUUUUCAUAAAUUUUUAAAUAAGACAAACGAUCAAAUGUUGGACACGGAAACUUAUGGUUAUACUUAAA
Molecule: non-coding RNA, 203 nt
Organism: Oryza barthii
Lineage: Eukaryota; Viridiplantae; Streptophyta; Magnoliopsida; Poales; Poaceae
Source: Rfam